AAUAAUAUACAAAAUUAAUUUUCAAUCUUAAAAUUUAAACCUUAAACAACGGAUGUCUUGGCUCUUUACACGAAGAAGAACAUUGCAUAAUGUGAUAAGCGACUAGAUUAGCUCAAUUUGUGAUAAGUUCGAUCUUUGAAUGCAUAUUGCGUAUUUAUUAAUUUAUUAAUAAAUACAUAUAUAAUUUAGUAACAAAUAAUAAUUAAUUAAUCAUUUUA
This 218-nucleotide unclassified non-coding RNA is filed under the name Histomonas meleagridis. Its description in RNAcentral is "sequence contains ITS1, 5.8S rRNA gene and ITS2". The stretch from base 38 to 194 matches the Rfam family "5.8S ribosomal RNA". From Rfam's summary of the family: 5.8S ribosomal RNA (5.8S rRNA) is a component of the large subunit of the eukaryotic ribosome. The record is from RNAcentral. Lineage: Eukaryota; Parabasalia; Tritrichomonadida; Dientamoebidae.